GAUGAACGCUGGCGGCGUGCUUAACACAUGCAAGUCGAACGAAGCACUUUGAUCGAUUUCUUCGGAUUGAGAUCUUAGUGACUGAGUGGCGGACGGGUGAGUAACGCGUGGGUAACCUGCCUCACACAGGGGGAUAACAGUUGGAAACGGCUGCUAAUACCGCAUAAGCGCACAGUUCCGCAUGGUACGGUGUGAAAAACUCCGGUGGUGUGAGAUGGACCCGCGUCUGAUUAGCUAGUUGGCAGGGCAGCGGCCUACCAAGGCGACGAUCAGUAGCCGACCUGAGAGGGUGACCGGCCACAUUGGGACUGAGACACGGCCCAAACUCCUACGGGAGGCAGCAGUGGGGAAUAUUGCACAAUGGGGGAAACCCUGAUGCAGCGACGCCGCGUGAGCGAAGAAGUAUUUCGGUAUGUAAAGCUCUAUCAGCAGGGAAGAAGAAAUGACGGUACCUGACUAAGAAGCACCGGCUAAAUACGUGCCAGCCGCCGCGGUAA
Molecule: ribosomal RNA, 497 nt
Filed under: uncultured bacterium
Lineage: Bacteria
Description: partial 16S ribosomal RNA
Rfam family: Bacterial small subunit ribosomal RNA
Source: RNAcentral